GUUCAAGCUGCAGACAGAUGUGGAAAUGCUUUCCUGUUAAGCAUGUGAGACCUACAGCAGACACACUCAGACUGGCCCAAGACCUUUUCCAAACGUGGGAGCCUAAGGAUGAAGAGUUAUCUAAAACAGUUGCUAUUUCAGUCCAGAACUUGAAGUUAAAAAUGUUCGAAUGGAAAAAAAAAAGUUUAAAAAUAUAGAUGUGUAUUUUUCUAAAACCCCAUUAAGCUG
Molecule: long non-coding RNA, 228 nt
Filed under: Marmota marmota marmota (Alpine marmot)
Lineage: Eukaryota; Metazoa; Chordata; Mammalia; Rodentia; Sciuridae
Description: lncRNA (ENSMMMG00000019098.1)
Source: RNAcentral